AUUGAACGCUGGCGGCAUGCCUUACACAUGCGAGUCGAACGGCAGCACGGACUUCGGUCUGGUGGCGAGUGGCGAACGGGUGAGUAAUGUAUCGGAACGUACCUUUCAGUGGGGAAUAACGUAGCGAAAGUUACGCUAAUACCGCAUAUUCUGUGAGCAGGAAAGCAGGGGAUCGAAAGACCUUGCGCUGAUUGAGCGGCCGAUAUCAGAUUAGCUAGUUGGUGGGGUAAAGGCCUACCAAGGCGACGAUCUGUAGCGGGUCUGAGAGGAUGAUCCGCCACACUGGAACUGAGACACGGUCCAGACUCCUACGGGAGGCAGCAGUGGGGAAUUUUGGACAAUGGGGGCAACCCUGAUCCAGCCAUGCCGCGUGAGUGAAGAAGGCCUUCGGGUUGUAAAGCUCUUUCGGCCGGGAAGAAAUCGCAUAGGCUAAUACCCUGUGUGGAUGACGGUACCGGAAUAAGAAGCACCGGCUAACUACGUG
Molecule: ribosomal RNA, 484 nt
Filed under: uncultured bacterium
Lineage: Bacteria
Description: partial 16S ribosomal RNA
Rfam family: Bacterial small subunit ribosomal RNA
Source: RNAcentral